Non-coding RNA from Dermacentor albipictus, 3865 nucleotides. NCBI's taxonomy places the organism in Eukaryota, Metazoa, Arthropoda, Arachnida, Ixodida, Ixodidae. The record is from RefSeq and is a predicted model, not a curated record.
UUUCCUCCCAUGCCCUGAUGAAUCGACAUCCUUGUUUUUUAUUGUGAAAGGAACGUUACAUCCAGAGCAUAAAUAAAUGAUCAAGAAAUCUGGUAGUGUGUUUCGCCAUUACAAUAAUUCCGCUCUUAAAGACGUGGAUUUCCGAUUAGCCCACAUUUCUUUUGAUGCAGACAACCGCUGAAAUUGUUAGCGGCAGGUUAUUCGAGACGUUCUACGUAUAUAGCAAUUGUCUUCAGGAGCUUUAAUGAAUUUUGAAAAUUUGAAGUGUUGUGCUUUAGAGGUAUCAUAUACAAGCUUAAGGUCUCCGGGUAAUUUGUAUGCCCUUCGAGAGCUGUCGCCUGUAGCCCUAUUGAAAUUCGUAACUACAGUUUGGAGCACUGGGGAAGCUAGAAGGCUUGUCCUGGCUCUCGAGAAAGUGUUUAAGCUGGAGGUGUAGGUUGAGGAGUUUGGGGUUGGUAACACAAAGGAUUUUUUAUGCCUUAGCAGUAGGAGUGACACAGGAUAAAAAAAAUGUAUGUGUGUCAAGCACAGGAAGCUGCUCAUGUGGUAGAAGCAUGUGUGUGUGUGUGUGUGUGUGUGUGUGUGUGUGUGUGUGUGUGUGUGUGUGUGUGUGUGUGUGUGUGUGUGUGUGUGUGUGUGUGUGUGUGUGUGUGCGCCCAUGCAUGCGUGCGUGUGUGUGAAUUCUCCUCAAAAGGGAGUAUGUGUGUAAGUGAGCUAUUUCAUUGCUGGUCUGUUUGCCAAGAAUUGGCAAGAAAGCACAAUAAUCAAUUUAACUUGAAAUAAUAAACUUCAAAGCAUACCGGCGUACUGGCGACAGCAGCAUACAAGCAUGCUGCUGUGUGACAAUCUUAAUGCAUGACUGCAACAUCUCGAAGGAGGCUUGCUUCUUCUUCAGUAAGCAGCACAAAGUCCAUAUUCUUGGCUUUUCUCGUGCAAACCAAAACGAGGCUCAUUGCCAAUGAUCUUGUCUUUUGCUCUAAUAGCAUUUGUUUAUCUUGUACUUAGAGCGUCGUUUCUCGCAGGUCAUGCAGAUGGUAGCAGCAAUUUCACAAUGCCCAGCCUUGGCGCCCCCCAUCAAGAGCAAGCCACUUGCGUUCGCCUUCAGACAGAUGGUUAAUGUCUUCUUGAAAGCGGUUGAGAAGACAACAUUGAUGCAAGAUUCCAGCAAUGCCAUGCGCUGCAUUUAUUGGUCAAGAUGCUCAGAGAAUGGAGUCCCUGCACCUCGUGGUUAACCGUGAACAUUUCUUUUUCUUUUGGAAAGCUAAAGGCCAUUUGCUGCAUCACUUGCAUUUUUGCAGCUCAGAUGUGUACUAUAUUUUUCUAAUUUUGAAUCAAUAUUGGCUGUUCAGUAUAAAAAAUGACGUACAGCGUGAAGGACAAGGACUGCGAGAGACACACUCCACUGACUUUCAACAAUAUUUUAUUGCGUUGCCACAUCGUGUGUGUAUACACAGAGGGGUCAUGCGCAGAAAAUGAAAGCCAGUCACAAGGGGUGUUCUAACAGCAAGUCAUUGUAAAAAUAACAUGGUCACUUGAAAAAAAAAACCACAAUUUCUAUCUGUUUAGAUACAAAAUUUCACUAGGGGUCAGCGUGAUAGAGGGGGCACUAACGCACACACUACCCAGUUUUCUGGUGAAAUCAGCUUCAAUAAUUUACCGGGUGAGCUGUGUCUCGCUAAAACUUCCGUAUCUUAAAGAGGGGCAUGCUGCCGCAGUCCCGGCAAUGAAUGCCCAAGUGGCCUUGAACAGUGUUAUUAACGUUGUUAUAGUGCUCUCUUAAAUGAUCAUUUAGGCCCCUGCCUAUCUGUCCAAUAUAUUUACUGCCUCAAAAUGGGAAUUUGGGAAACCACAUUCGUUGCACACAUCGCAAAACGUUUUCUGUGCCCGGCAGAGCAACAACUCUGACGUGAUUUAGGUACAUUUACACACUUACAGAGCCUUGCCAGCUUUUCCGGGGCUGAGAAAAGGACUGUGAUUUCUGCAGGUUCCCUAAUCUUUUUUAGCCUAUGGGAGACAUCAUGAACAUACGGUAGCACUGCAAACCUGUGUCUUUCAACCGGCUGGUUCCUUGACCGAGCGCGCUCAUCAUGUUUUGUGCACUUCAGGAGCUGUUCCGCUAUGGCUGAAAUUAAGGCCAAAGGGUAGCCAACCCAAGAAAGGCAAUCAGCCUGUGCAGCAAUGCUAUGUUGCAUCUCGUGUGAGCAAGAUUUAUUGAGGCUGUUAAGGAGGCAAAGCUUUACAAUAUCUCAUUUGAUUUUGUUGGACAGACAGGCAGGCGCCUAGACAAUCAUUUAGGAGAGCACGAUAACAACGUCCAUAACACUGUUCAAGGCCACUUCGGCAUCCAUUGCUGGGACUGCGGCUGCAUGCCCCUCUUUGAAGGUACGGAAGCUUUAGCGAGACACAGGUCAUCCGGGAAACUAUAGAAGCAGAUUUCACUAGAAAACUGGUUGGUAUGUGCAUUAGUGACCCCUCUAUCGUGCUGACCCCUAGUGAAGUCUUGUAUCUCAACAGAUAGAAAUUCUAAUGUUUAUUUUUUUCAAAAGACGAUGUUCUUAGUACAGUCACUUGCUCUUAGACACCCCUUGUGACUCAUAUUCUGCGCAUGCCCGCUUUUGUACAAAUACACAUGAUGUGGCAACGUAAUUAAAUAUUGUUGGAAGUCAGCGCAGUCUGUCAUCUCUCGCAGUUCUUGUCAUUCAAGCUGUAUGUAAUUUUAUCUCAUUAAUUGCAAACUAUCCCAAGAAACUACCCUUGUUCAGUAUAAUUAUAAUGUUUGAUACGACCAUUUGCUGGCAAAUGUUAACAGUGUGAUAUUUAACUUGAACUUUUGCAUGACUGCCUAUGCCUGUGUUCUUUUAGUAACCAGAGUAUGGCUAAUUUAUUAAACCAUAUUUGCUAAUUUGCAUGCUCAUAUGCUAUAGCAUGCCUUAAUCUUGAAUUACUGCAUCUAAGUGCAAAUAAUUUAGAAACUUACUAUGUAUUUUAAAACACUGUCCACAUUUUGUGCUCAGCAAAAUCGUUUAAUCAACAGUGGUUUGUUUUUAUCAGGUCUCCUACUGCACUUUGCACCCAGGCACUAGUAGAUGUGGAAUAUGCACUCCUUUGAUUUAUAGUAAGAAAAGAACCUAUUUUCAAACUACAUAUUGUAUAUGUACCAGUGCCUUAGAGUUACAAAACAUAAAUUUAUAGAAACUGGUAUUGUAGUUAGAAAAACCGCUACACAGCACCUUUAGCCCAGAGAACUCUCGUUUCACAAAAGAGGACAAACUAUGUAGGCACUAAAAAAUUCUACGUAUUUUUUGUGCUCAAGUAAUCUUGUUGGAAAUAGAAAAUUAGCAAUAAGGCUCCUGGCAUAAACCUCACCUAAAGCAUGUCUAUGCUUGGAAAGUAUUGUUUCAGUCUGAAAAAUGUUGGCCAGUUAUGCUUUACAUCGACUUUCCAAACUUUUCAUAAUGCUUUGCGAUUACAUUAGUGUACAAAAUAACAGGUGUCUUUCUUGUGCGUUUGCUCUGCAUUUCAAUUGCUUCCCUAAUUCACCUUUGCAAUAUGCCUUUUUUUAAGGCAUCAAAGCUUGAAUUUUCGUUCACUGGAGCCUAAUACUAAAAAUGUAUUCCUUUAUGUGACCCAAAACACUGCGAAUCAACCCAGGCGCUUUCAGUGCCGCUAUACAUAGUUUCUUCUCUAAUAACAGAUUUGAUCAAUACAUAUAUUUUAGGUACCUUUGUGGGGAAUGUAAAUGUUCUUGUACUUACCGAUGUGUUUGGUGAUUGUGCAUGUUUAUAUAUCAUGUGAUUUAUGUAUAUGUUGUACUCUGUAUUGCAGCAUGCAAUAAAUAUAUUUGCGUUUUCUUGAAAAUGCAGCA